UCAUAAGUCAUCCAGUGGGCUAGGCACGGUGGCUGACACCUAUAAUCCCCACACUUUGAGCCUGCCAAAGUGCCUUUUUUUGUGCCUUUCACAUAAAGACUAUGACACAGCUAAGCUAUUCAUGUACUAAUAAAUACCUGCCCUGAGCUGUGUGACCACGGACACCACCCUAUAAUAUGGCCAGUGUGUAGGAACUCUGCAGGCUCAGAUCAUUCCAGACAUACAUGCAGAUGUUGGAACUCCCUUGCACAGUGACUCAUGAUCCCAAGGCUGAGUGCUGAGGGCAGGAUUAACCUCAGCGAUUGUUGCUGGCAUCAGUGCAGCCCUGGGACCAGAGCACACCUGGGUGACUCGAAGAAGCCUUCCAAAAAGCGUGUGAAAAGGAAGCCCUACUCUACUACCAAGGUGACUUCAGGGAGCACAUUCAAUGAGAACACAAGAAGCUAUGCUGUGCACACCAACCAGUGUAGGAGACCUCAUGGCUCCCGGGUAAAGAAGAAGAGGUACCCACAAGAAGAUGACUUCCAUCAUACAGUCUUCAGCAACCUUGAAAGAUUGGACAAGCUUCAGCCCACUCUUGAAGCCUCUGAGGAGUCUCUAGUUCACAAGGACAGAGGAGAUGGAGAGAGGCCAGUCAACGUGAGGGUGGUGCAGGUGGCCCCUCUGAGGCGUGAAUCUACUCCCCAUGAGGACACCGUACACGACAUCACUAACGAGGACGCCACACACGACAUCGCUAACGAGGAUACUGUACACGACAUCGCUAACGAGGCCGCCGACAAGGGCAUCGCCAACGAGGAUGCCGCCCACAGCAUCGCCAACGAGGACGCCGCCCACGGCAUCGCCAGCGAGGACGCCGCCCACGGCAUCGCCAGCGAGGACGCCGCCCACGGCAUCGCCAGCGAGGACGCCGCCCAGGGCAUCGCCAACGAGGACGCCGUCCAGGGCAUCGCCAUGGAGGACGCCGUCCACGGCAUCGCCAACGAGGACGCCGCCCAGGGCAUCGCCAACGAGGACGCCGCCCAGGGCAUCGCCAAGGAGGACGCCGCCCAGGGCAUCGCCAACGAGGACGCCGCCCAGGGCAUCGCCAAAGAGGACGCCGCCCAGGGCAUCGCCAAGGAGGACGCCGCCCAGGGCAUCGCUAACGAGGCCGCCGACAAGGGCAUCGCCAACGAGGAUGCCGCCCACGGCAUCGCCAGCGAGGACGCCGCCCACGGAAUCGCCAGCGAGGACGCCGCCCACGGCAUCGCCAGCGAGGACGCCGCCCACGGCAUCGCCAGCGAGGACGCCGCCCAGGGCAUCGCCAGCGAGGACGCCGCCCAGGGCAUCGCCAGCGAGGACGCCGCCCAGGGCAUCGCCAACGAGGACGCCGCCCAGGGCAUCGCCAAAGAGGACGCCGCCCAGGGCAUCGCCAAGGAGGACGCCGCCCAGGGCAUCGCCAAGGAGGACGCCGCCCAGGGCAUCGCCAACGAGGACGGCGCCCACGGAAUCGCCAACGAGGACGCCGCCCAGGGCAUCGCCAACGAGGACGGCGCCCAGGGCAUCGCCAGCGAGGACGCCGCCCAGGGCAUCGACAAGGAGGACGCCGCCCAGGGCAUCGCCAACGAGGACGCCGCCCAGGGCAUCGCCAACGAGGACGCCGCCCAGGGCAUCGCCAACGAGGACGCCAUCCAGGGCAUCGCCAAGGAGUACGCCGUCCACGGCAUCGCCAACGAGGACGCCGCCCAGGGCAUCGCCAAGGAGGACGCCGCCCAGGGCAUCGCCAAGGAGGACGCCGCCCAGGGCAUCGCCAAGGAGGACGCCGCCCAGGGCAUCGCCAACGAGGACGCCGCCCAGGGCAUCGCCAAAGAGGACGCCGCCCACGGCAUCGCCAACGAGGACGCCGCCCAGGGCAUCGCCAACGAGGACGGCGCCCACGGAAUCGCCAGCGAGGACGCCGUCCAGGGCAUCGACAAGGAGGAUGCCGCCCAGGGCAUCGCCAACGAGGACGCCGCCCAGGGCAUCGCCAACGAGGACGCCGCCCAGGGCAUCGCCAAAGAGGACGCCGCCCACGGCAUCGCCAACGAGCUGUAUACGACAUCGCUAACGAGGACACCCUACAAGCCGUCGCUAACAAGUACACUGUACACAACAUCGCUAAUGAGGGCACUGUACAAGACAUCACCAAUGAGGGCGCUUUAUACGACAUUGCUAAUGGCACCGACAAGGCACGCUAACGUGGACGCUGUACACGACAUUGCUAAUGAGGACAGCGUAUAAGACAUCGCUAGUAACUAUCGCAAGAACAAAAAACCAAACACCGCAUAUUCUCACUCAUAGAUGGGAAUUGAACAAUGAGAUCACAUGGACACAGGAAGGGGAAUAUCACACUCUGGGGACUGUUGUGGGGUUGGGGGGGGAGGGAUAGCAUCGGGAGAUAUACCUAAUGCUAGAUGAUGAGUUAGUGGGUGCAGCACACCAGCAUGGCACAUGUAUACAUAUGUAACUAACCUGCACAAUGUGCACAUGUACCCUAAAACUUAAAGUAUAUAUAUAUAAAAAAAGACAUCGCUAGUGAGCACGCUGUAUACGACAUCGCUAAUGAGGACACCAUACAAGGCAUCGCUAACGAUGACGCUGUACACAACAUCACUAAUGAUGACACCGUAUAAGACAUCGCUAAUUAUGACGCUGUAUACGACAUCGCUAAUGACACCGUACAAGGCACGCUAACGAGGAUGCUGUACACGACAUCACUAAUGAGGACAGUGUACAAGCCAUCACUAAUGAGGACACUGUAUAUGGCAUCGCUAACGAGGACACUGUACAAGGCAUUGCUAACGAGGACGCUGUACACAACAUCGCUAAUGAGGACACCAUAUAAGACAUCACCAAUGAGGAUGCUGUAUAUGACAUCGCUAAUGGCACCCACAAGGCAUGCUAACGAGGACGCUGUAGACGACAUUGCUUAUAAGGACACCGUACAAGACAUCGCUAACGAGGACGCUGUAUACGACAUCGCUAAUGAGGACGUUGUAUAUGACAUCGCUAAUGAGGAUGCUUUACAAGACAUAGCUAAUGAGGUUGCUGUAUAUGACAUCGCUAAUGAGGACAUUGUAUAUGACAUCGCUAAUGAGGACGCUCUAUACGACAUCACUAAUGAGGACGCUGUAUACAACAUCGCUAAUGAGGACGCUGUAUAUGGCAUCGCUAAUGAGGAUGCUGUAUACGAAUUCGCUAAUAAGGACGCUGUAUAUGACAUUGCUAAUGAGGACACUGUACAAGACAUCUGUAAAAAAGAAGAUGCUGCCAAUGAGCCAUUGACACUGGAGAAUGAUACGUACCCUGAAAUAACUCACUUCCUGAGGAAAAAGCGCCAUCUCUAGGAUUUGAUUGUGGAGAGCAUAUCUGAUGAUGGGGAUUUGUAGGACUUUAAAAAGCACUCAUGUUUCCAUCCUCACUGUUGACUCCUGGCUUAAAGGGAUCUCCCGGGGUGAGUGAGGAGGCGGGAUCGGACCCUGGCAGUCUGACGGCAGCACCUGUGUUCCUCUGCACUGGGCCGUGGAUGACAUUACACACCUUGCCACUCCCACGGUCCUGUGUGUUCCGGAUAUUUUAAAAUAAUGGCUAUAAGGUUGAGCACUUCAGGAUACGCUGUUUUGCUGUGUGCAGAUGGAGGCAGUGGCUGGAGUGAAUGAACGGCAACACUUGCUGGCAACCGGCAGAAGCUGAGAGACAGGGAACAGGCUCUCCUCCAGAGCCUCCAGGAGCCAGGCCUUUGGACACCUUGAAUGUGGGCUUCUGGGAGACCAUGCGUUUCUGUUAUAAGCAGCCCAGUCUCUGGCAGUUUUUACGGCUGCCCCGGAACACUCAUCUAUACCUGUCUGACAAGGUCAAGCUCCAAGGAAGGGACUCUCUACAUAUCUACAUUGUUUGCAGAUUUUACAAUAAUCAUUUAUUCUUGCAUGGCUGAUCAUUGUUAACCAAUACAAAUAAAAUAAUAAAGAAAUGACCCACAUUUUA
RNAcentral lists this long non-coding RNA (4002 nucleotides) under Homo sapiens (human). Its description in RNAcentral is "family with sequence similarity 230-like (LOC107987389)". The record is from RNAcentral. Lineage: Eukaryota; Metazoa; Chordata; Mammalia; Primates; Hominidae.